Molecule: ribosomal RNA, 443 nt
Filed under: uncultured bacterium
Lineage: Bacteria
Description: bacterial SSU rRNA
Rfam family: Bacterial small subunit ribosomal RNA
Source: RNAcentral
AGCGAACGCUGGCGGCAUGCUUAACACAUGCAAGUCGCACGGGCAGUAGCAAUACUGUCAGUGGCGGACGGGUGAGUAACGCGUAGGAAUCUAUCCUUGGAAUGGGGGACAAACCGUGGGAAAACUACGGCUAAUACCGCAUGAUGCCUGAGGGCCAAAGACGAAAGUCGUUUGAGGAGGAGCCUGCGUCUGAUUAGGUAGUUGGUGGGGUAAAGGCCUACCAAGCCCUACGAUCAGUAGCUGGUCUGAGAGGAUGAUCAGCCACAUUGGGACUGAGACACGGCCCAAACUCCUACGGGAGGCAGCAGUGGGGAAUAUUGGACAAUGGGCGCAAGCCUGAUCCAGCAAUGCCGCGUGGGUGAAGAAGGUCUUCGGAUUGUAAAGCCCUUUUGGCGGGGACGAUGAUGACGGUACCCGCAGAAUAAGCUCCGGCUAACUUCGUG